This 465-nucleotide ribosomal RNA is filed under the name uncultured Klebsiella sp. RNAcentral describes it as "bacterial SSU rRNA". It matches the Rfam family "Bacterial small subunit ribosomal RNA", at positions 338 to 795 of the family's 1533-position model. Lineage: Bacteria; Pseudomonadati; Pseudomonadota; Gammaproteobacteria; Enterobacterales; Enterobacteriaceae. The record is from RNAcentral.
CCUACGGGCGGCUGCAGUGGGGAAUAUUGCACAAUGGGCGCAAGCCUGAUGCAGCCAUGCCGCGUGUGUGAAGAAGGCCUUCGGGUUGUAAAGCACUUUCAGCGGGGAGGAAGGCGGUGAGGUUAAUAACCUCAUCGAUUGACGUUACCCGCAGAAGAAGCACCGGCUAACUCCGUGCCAGCAGCCGCGGUAAUACGGAGGGUGCAAGCGUUAAUCGGAAUUACUGGGCGUAAAGCGCACGCAGGCGGUCUGUCAAGUCGGAUGUGAAAUCCACGGGCUCAACCUGGGAACUGCAUUCGAAACUGGCAGGCUAGAGUCUUGUAGAGGGGGGUAGAAUUCCAGGUGUAGCGGUGAAAUGCGUAGAGAUCUGGAGGAAUACCGGUGGCGAAGGCGGCCCCCUGGACAAAGACUGACGCUCAGGUGCGAAAGCGUGGGGAGCAAACAGGAUUAGAUACCCUAGUAGUC